CAGUCGCCGCGGUAAUACGAGGGGGGCAAGCGUUGUUCGGAUUUAUUGGGCGUAAAGGGUGCGUAGGCGGUUCGGCAAGUCUCGUGUGAAAUCUAUGGGCUCAACCCAUAGCCUGCACGAGAAACUACCGGGCUUGAGUAUUGGAGAGGUGAGUGGAAUUUCCGGUGUAGCGGUGAAAUGCGUAGAUAUCGGAAGGAACACCUGUGGCGAAAGCGGCUCACUGGACAAUAACUGACGCUGAUGCACGAAAGCUAGGGGAGCAAACAGGAUUAGAUACCCCGGUAGUCCCUGUCUCUUAUAC
This 301-nucleotide ribosomal RNA is filed under the name uncultured bacterium. RNAcentral's name for it is "partial 16S ribosomal RNA". It matches the Rfam family "Bacterial small subunit ribosomal RNA", at positions 509 to 807 of the family's 1533-position model. The record is from RNAcentral.